This 240-nucleotide ribosomal RNA is filed under the name uncultured Geobacteraceae bacterium. RNAcentral describes it as "partial 16S ribosomal RNA". It matches the Rfam family "Bacterial small subunit ribosomal RNA", at positions 1 to 229 of the family's 1533-position model. Lineage: Bacteria; Pseudomonadati; Thermodesulfobacteriota; Desulfuromonadia; Geobacterales; Geobacteraceae. The record is from RNAcentral.
CCUUAGAGUUUGAUCCUGGCUCAGAACGAACGCUGGCGGCGUGCUUAACACAUGCAAGUCGAACGUGAUCCGGAGCUUGCUCCGGUGAAAGUGGCGCACGGGUGAGUAACGCGUGGAUAAUCUGCCCUGGUAUCUGGGAUAACAUCUCGAAAGGGGUGCUAAUACCGGAUAAGCCUACGGGAUCCUCGGAUUCUGCAGGAAAAGGUGGCCUCUAUUUAUAAGCUACCGUACCAGGAUGAG